RNAcentral lists this ribosomal RNA (3114 nucleotides) under Triticum aestivum (bread wheat). RNAcentral's name for it is "partial small subunit ribosomal RNA". The record is from RNAcentral. Lineage: Eukaryota; Viridiplantae; Streptophyta; Magnoliopsida; Poales; Poaceae.
AUGCCGACGCCAGAGGCCGCAUUCGCAGGCAUCCUCCUCCUCGUCGUCUCCUUAGUUUCUGCUCUAGCCGGCGCCAAUGCCGCGACGGAGUCGGAGGCCGAGGCGCUGCUGGCCUGGAAGGCCAGCCUCGCCGCCGCCGCCGCGCUGUCCGAUUGGACCAAGGCCGCGCCGGCCUGCUCCUGGCUCGGGGUGUCCUGCGACGCAGCCGGACAUGUCCUUUCGCUCAGGCUCGUGGGCCUCGGCCUCACCGGCACGCUCGACGCGCUGGACUUCACGGCGCUCCCGGAUCUGGCCACGCUCGACCUUAACAACAACAACCUCUUCGGCGCAAUCCCGGCGAGCCUCUCGCGCCUCCGCUCCCUGGCCAAGCUCGACCUCGGCAGCAACGGGUUCAACGGCUCCAUCCCGCCGCAGCUCGGCGACCUCUCCGGCCUCGUGGACCUCCGGCUCUACAACAACAACCUCGCCGAUGCCAUCCCCCACCAGCUCAGCAGGCUCCCCAGGAUCAAGCAUUUCGACCUGGGAUCCAACUUCCUCACCGACCCGGACUACAGCAGGUUCUCGCCGAUGCCCACCGUCAACUUCAUGUCGCUCUACCUCAACUACCUCACCGGCAGCUUCCCGGAGUUCGUCCUCAACAGCAGCAACGUCACCUACCUCGACCUGUCGCAGAACAACUUCUCGAGGCCGAUACCAGACACGCUGCCGAAGAAGCUCCCCAACCUCAUGUACCUCAACUUGUCCGUCAAUGCCUUCUCCGGCGGGAUACCAGCGUCGCUGUCGAAGCUGAGGAAGCUCCGGGACCUACGGAUUUCAACCAACUAUCUGACGGGGGGCAUCCCCGAUUUCCUUGGGUCCAUGUCCCAGAUGAGAGUUCUUGAACUUGGCGGCAACCCGCUCGGCGGUCCGAUCCCGCCGGUUCUUGGCAGGCUCCAAAUGCUACAGCGCCUUGACCUGAGGAGUGCCAUGUUGGUUUCCACUAUUCCACCGCAGCUGGGCAACCUUGGCAAUCUCAGAUUCACGGACCUGUCCAUGAACCAGCUCAGCGGUGUCCUGCCGCCGGAGUUGGCCGGGAUGCGCAAAAUACGGGAAUUUGGCAUAUCAUCCAACAAUCUCGCCGGUCAGAUUCCACCGGCUAUGUUCACCAGCUGGCCAGACCUCAUAAAUUUCCAAGUGUUCAAAAACUCAUUUACCGGGAAGAUUCCGCCAGAAAUCGGCAAGGCAACCAAGCUAGAAAUCUUGUAUCUCUUCAGCAACAACUUUACCGGCUCUAUCCCGGUAGAGAUUGGCCAGUUGGUGAACCUGGUUCAGUUGGACCUGUCCGUAAACUGGCUCACAGGCCUGAUACCUCACUCGCUUGGGAACCUCAAGCAGCUCACGCGGCUGACGCUGUUUUUUAAUGAGCUCAUUGGUGCCAUCCCACCGGAGAUCGGCGACAUGACAGCACUGCAAGUACUGGACGUCAACACCAACCAUUUGGAAGGCGAGCUGCCCACGACCAUCACAUCACUCGGUAAUCUCCAAUACCUUGCGCUGUUUGAUAACAACUUCACUGGUACCAUACCACCGGACCUCGGCAAGGGGCUGAGCUUAACCGAUGCCGCCUUCGGGAACAACAGCUUCUCCGGUGAGCUGCCGCAGAGCCUGUGCCACGGCCUCGCGCUGCAGAACUUCACAGCAAACCACAACAACUUCAGCGGCACCCUGCCGCCAUGCCUGAAGAACUGCGCAGGCCUGUACCAUGUGAGACUGGAGCAGAACCAAUUCACCGGCGACAUCUCAGAGGUGUUUGGCGUCCAUCCCAUCUUGGAUUCCUUGGAUGUCUCGAAGAAUCAGCUGACAGGGAAAUUGUCGCCUCAUUGGUCACAGUGCACCAAUCUUACAGUUCUAUCCAUGAACAACAACCUCAUGUCUGGCAGUAUCCCUGCAGCCUUGUGUCGAUUGACCUCUCUCCGAUCACUGGAUCUAUCAAAUAACCAAUUCACCGGGGAGCUCCCACACUGCUGGUUGAAAUUAAAGGCACUGGUGUUUAUGGAUGUGUCCAACAAUGGUCUGUGGGGUAACUUUCCUGCCUCAACGAGCUUGGAUGACUUUCCUCUCCAAUCACUUCGUCUUGCUAACAAUAGCUUCUCCGGAGAAUUCCCAUCUGUCAUUGAGACUUGUUGCAGUAUGCUCAUCACACUAGAUCUUGGGGACAACAUGUUUGUUGGUGAUAUUCCGUCUUGGAUUGGAACAAGUGUUCCUCUUCUAAGAGUUCUGACCCUCCCAUCCAACAAGUUCAGUGGUGUCAUUCCAUCUGAGUUGUCCAAACUUUCUAAUCUGCAAGUACUUGACUUGUCCAAGAAUAGCUUUACUGGAUCGAUCCCAGGAACGUUCGGCAACUUAACAUCAAUGAUGAAAACACCAAAACAAGUUUUCUCCAGCAAAAAAGUAGAAUCUUCUGGAAGGCAUGAUUUUGUCCAAGUGAGACGGAUUUCCACAUUUUCUCGGAGGACAGUGCCAGCCAAUAACCCGUCGCUGCUGGAUAAGUACCGAGACAGAGUUAACAUUUUCUGGAAGGGCCGUGAACAAACUUUCCAGAAAACAAUCGAAAUAUCAGGUAUUGAUUUAUCAAGCAAUCUACUCACAGGGAACAUCCCUGAGGAGCUAACAUACCUUCAAGGUCUCCUAUUCUUGAACUUGUCUAGAAAUGAUCUGUCAGGCAGUAUUCCAGAAAGCAUUGGUGGUUUGGAGCUAUUGGAGUCCCUUGACCUCUCAUGGAAUGAACUUUCAGGUGCUAUCCCUCCUACCAUUUCAAAAUUGAAUUCGCUCGGCGUGUUAAAUCUGUCCAACAAUCUCUUAAGGGGCGUCAUACCCACUGGAAGUCAGAUGCAGACAUUUGCAGACGAAUCAAUUUAUGGCAACAAUCCGGGGCUUUGUGGGUUCCCGUUGAGCAUAGCUUGUUCGGAUGAGGGAACUGAAGACCACCAAGAACUUGGACGAGGUAUAUGGUUGUGGUACUCUAUAAUCCUUGGCAUCGUUUUCGGUUUUUGGUCCUGGUUUGGAGCUCUGUUUUUCCUCAGGCCAUGGAGGUUUUUCUUUCUCCAAUUUCUUGAUAAGUUAGGCAGUAAGUAA